This 468-nucleotide ribosomal RNA is filed under the name uncultured bacterium. RNAcentral's name for it is "partial 16S ribosomal RNA". It matches the Rfam family "Bacterial small subunit ribosomal RNA", at positions 28 to 507 of the family's 1533-position model. The record is from RNAcentral.
GACGAACGCUGGCGGCGUGCUUAACACAUGCAAGUCGAACGGAAAGGCCCUGCUUUUGUGGGGUGCUCGAGUGGCGAACGGGUGAGUAACACGUGAGUAACCUGCCCUUGACUUUGGGAUAACUUCAGGAGACUGGGGCUAAUACCGGAUAGGAGCUCCUGCUGCAUGGUGGGGGUUGGAAAGUUUCGGCGGUUGGGGAUGGACUCGCGGCUUAUCAGCUUGUUGGUGGGGUAGUGGCUUACCAAGGCUUUGACGGGUAGCCGGCCUGAGAGGGUGACCGGCCACAUUGGGACUGAGAUACGGCCCAGACUCCUACGGGAGGCAGCAGUGGGGAAUAUUGCACAAUGGGCGGAAGCCUGAUGCAGCAACGCCGCGUGCGGGAUGAUGGCCUUCGGGUUGUAAACCGCUUUCGCCUGUGACGAAGCGUGAGUGACGGUAAUGGGUAAAGAAGCACCGGCUAACUACGUG